Long non-coding RNA from Ornithorhynchus anatinus (platypus), 386 nucleotides. RefSeq lists it as uncharacterized. NCBI's taxonomy places the organism in Eukaryota, Metazoa, Chordata, Mammalia, Monotremata, Ornithorhynchidae. The transcript has 3 exons. The record is from RefSeq and is a predicted model, not a curated record.
GCAACUAAAAUAUACCUGCGGGGCCAGUCAGACACCUCUCAGAAUGUAGCAGUGGAACUGAGCGAGGUACCCAGAACAUGCUGACCAUAUCCCAGCCAGUGCCUCUGCCUCAUUACAUCUCUCAGCAGCCUGAAUCCAUGGUGAGGGACAACAUGCAGGAAUACCAGGAAUUGAAGAGCAUCUCACUUCUACACGGUGUCAGUUAUAGCUUUGGGCUCCACACACAAAGCCGUGAACUGUACAGAAGCUGCCAGAGCCCGAUCUCCUUCUGCACCCUGUACUGAUUUUGAAGAAAACUCGAUGUGCAGAGAGAACUGUGGCAGAUGGAUCAUUCUCUUCACAAAAUAAAAAUGCCUAGCACACAUCUUGGAAGAAUUCAAAAUGUA